Molecule: ribosomal RNA, 373 nt
Filed under: uncultured bacterium
Lineage: Bacteria
Description: bacterial SSU rRNA
Rfam family: Bacterial small subunit ribosomal RNA
Source: RNAcentral
AUACGGAGGAUGCAAGCGUUAUCCGGAUUCAUUGGGUUUAAAGGGUGCGCAGGCGGAGAUAUAAGUCAGUGGUGAAAAACUGCCGCUCAACGGUAGUCUUGCCAUUGAUACUGUUUCUCUUGAGUAUGGAUGAGGUAGGCGGAAUGUGCAGUGUAGCGGUGAAAUGCAUAGAUAUUGCACGGAACACCAAUUGCGAAGGCAGCUUACUGGGCCAUUACUGACGCUCAGGCACGAAAGCGUGGGGAUCAAACAGGAUUAGAUACCCUGGUAGUCCACGCAGUAAACGAUGUUCACUCGCUGUUUGCGAUAUACUGUAGGCGGCUUAGUUAAAGCAUUAAGUGAACCACCUGGGGAGUACGAUCGCAAGGUUGAA